Molecule: long non-coding RNA, 33472 nt
Filed under: Vitis vinifera (wine grape)
Lineage: Eukaryota; Viridiplantae; Streptophyta; Magnoliopsida; Vitales; Vitaceae
Description: long non-coding RNA (VVIN_LNC006040)
Source: RNAcentral
AAGACUCCGGUGAUGAUAAUAGUACGCAAGACUUCAUGGAUGUGAUGCAGUCAGUUCUUGAUGGCAAAAACCUUGGUGGUUACGACGCUGAUACCAUCAAUAAAGCCACAUGCCUGGUAUGAGUUAUUAAUGAAACACCCACGUACCAUUUAUUUGCAUAUUAUCAGGGCUAGCUUCUUUUGCACAGACAGUUUUUCUUUUGUUUAUAUGUUUUAAUUGAUGCAUAUUCACUUUCUUCUUCUCUUAAUUAAAUUGUAAUAAUUAAACAUAAAAUUAAAUAAAUUUUAAAUUUUAUUUUUAACUAAAAAUAGAAGUAUACAUAUACAAAUAUAUACUGCUUAAGCAAUUAAUUUUUUAAAAUUAUUCUUUCAGAACACUUCAGACAAGCUGAGACAUGCUUCGAGGGAAAUUUAAAUAUAAUGAUUUUAAAAGCUACUUUGUAAUUUUAUUUUCGAGCAUGUUGCAUAAUAUAUGCUUUCCUUGAAUUGAUUUUCCAAAUUUUAUUUUUGUUAGCAAGAAAGGGUUAUCUACGUUUUGGAAGUUAUCUUUAAUUUCCCCUGUAAAGAAUAAGUGAUCUUGAAAAUUAUAAGCUAAUUAUGUUCAUUUGAAUAAGAGAUUUGAAUAAUCUUGUAAAAGAUGAUGUAUAUCGUUUAAGUGGAUGGUUGAUUUAGAAAUUAUCAUAAAGGGAAAUGGAAAAAAAUACUAUUAUUUUGGAACAAGACCAUAUUGUUCAUUGGUGUCUCUAGAAAGUUCCAUUAGAUGCUAUCAAACAAUUAAUUUGGUGUCUCAUUUGCAUAAUUUUGAGUUAUUGGAUUUUGGGUUUUGCAGACUCUAAUCUCCGGAGGUAGCGACACAACUGUUGUCUCUCUAACAUGGGCACUCUCUCUUGUACUAAACAACCGUGACACCUUAAAAAAAGCUCAAGAAGAAUUAGACAUCCAAGUUGGUAAGGAAAGAUUAGUGAAUGAACAAGAUAUAAGUAAGUUGGUCUAUCUCCAAGCCAUUGUUAAAGAGACAUUACGGUUAUAUCCACCAGGACCACUUGGAGGACUACGCCAAUUUACCGAGGAUUGCACCUUGGGUGGAUACCAUGUCUCUAAAGGCACCCGUUUAAUAAUGAACCUUUCGAAGAUCCAAAAGGAUCCAAGAAUUUGGUCAGAUCCGACAGAAUUCCAACCAGAGAGGUUUCUCACCACCCAUAAAGAUGUUGAUCCUCGGGGAAAACAUUUUGAGUUUAUACCAUUUGGAGCUGGUCGAAGAGCAUGUCCAGGAAUAACUUUUGGUCUUCAAGUAUUACAUUUAACAUUGGCUAGUUUCUUACAUGCGUUUGAAUUUUCAACUCCAUCAAAUGAACAGGUCAAUAUGCGCGAGAGCCUUGGACUUACAAAUAUGAAAUCUACCCCACUUGAAGUUCUCAUUUCUCCACGCUUAUCUUCUUGUAGUCUUUACAAUUAAAACAUUGAAACGAAGCGGUCAAGUCGGUCUUGCUAGUCUUGGUUUAAAGACAUAUAGAGUUAAGUUCAAUCAAUCUAUGACAAGAUUUGGGAUUGUAUUAAAAGUAGGUUGGACUAAGAAUGAUGUAUAAUAAACUAAAGUACUAUUUAUGUCAAUAAAGUAUAACUUUAUAUAUUAUUUGGUUACCCUUAUGGAAUGCAACAUCAUAAUUAUUUAUUUGUUUUGUCUAAUUCAUUCUACAUUUUUUUCCCCUCAUUUUCACCACAACAAAUAAUAUAUAGCAUUUUAUUUUUUGAAAUCAAAGUUAGUUCCGAGUUAUAUAAGAAUUUUACUAUUACUUUAUAAUAAACUUUAAUCUCAAUAAUUUUAACAUGUAAAUAUGAUCUUCAUCCUUAAUCAAAUAUAGGGAUAAUUUCAUUCAUCUUUUAGAAGAUUAGAGUUAAAUUUACCUAUCCAUCAUUAACUUGAAAUUUCACUAAAUAUAUUUUUUUUUCUUUUUCCUUUACUAUUUUUACUCAUCAUAUCUUUUAAUUUAAAAUAAAAAAUAUGUUUAAUAAAAUUUGGGAAUAAUGGUUAUUAGACAUAUUUACGUGAAAUUUUCGAUGAGGUGAAUGAAACUAAAGUUUUCUUUAAAUGUAAAAUCAUAAAAAUUUAGUAUCUGCCAGCAUGAUCCGGUCUAAAUAUUAUAUAUAAUUUGUGUCAUUUCAAAAAAUCAUAGAAGAUCCUUUUGGCAAAGUGGCUCCUUUGAGUUGGUAUUCUCUAAUUGUCACUACAUAUUAUAUAAUUUCAAAGAUCAUGGAGGAUCAUGUCGGCAAUCAUGAUCAGAAGAAGUUGCAGCUUCCUCUAUAAAAUACUAUAUAUACAUAAAAUUAAUCAAUGCAAUAUUUAGCAUAUGCAAGCAAAAUUGGACGGAUCAUGAAAGUAAACCUACGGGCCACCCCUUUACGACUUGUUCGAAAAAGCACUAACCCAGGGUGGUGCCACUUUCCAGCUGUCUUUUUCAAUAGCUAAAUGUUACCACGGUCGGAAUGCUUGGCAUACUCUCUCUCCCCACUAUCUAUUAUUAUGGAGAUCCAGAGCUGGUAAGAGAAGAAUAGAACCCGAAGCUGCUGGUGCAUGGUCAAUAAUCGGUCACCUCCUUUGGGUCACAACUUACUGAAAAACCGUCUGUCUAGUAGGUAAGAUUCAGAGGUGAAUACAUGUAUUUAAAAAGAUUAUAACAAAAAAAUUGAAUUGUUUUAACCUAAUGAAGAUAUAAAAGAUAAAUAAAAUAAUCAAAAUCAAACAAAUAAGUAAAGGACACAAAUUUUUAUAUGGAAAAUUUUCACAUUUACUAUAAAGAUAAAAAAACUACAAGAUAUAACAUCUUUAAUCUACUAUCUAUUGUUUGAAAUCAAAGUACGCAAAUUUACUUGCUCACGAUGCAACACCUUUCUCUUAGUCUCGUUGAAGAGAUGCAAGUCAAUACUAUGAAUUUUUUCUCAAGAAAUUGGAAAUGAUAGGGUAAGUUGUUGAUUCUCUUGUAGUGUCAAUAUAAAACAUAUUUAGGUAUGAUAUGUAAAAAAUAUUUACAUAAUCACAUAGAUUAAUGAUACAUGAUUAAAAGAUACUAACAAUAGGAAAUCACUAUAAAGAACAUACCUGUUUGAGUCAUGAUAAAAAAAACGUGAUUGAUUGUUGUAGUCAAGUCUUCCUCUCUAUGAUCUUGAUAAUAGAUAUGGUGGCUAUAUGGGAAAACAGAUAAACCCUAUUUAUCUACAUUAGAGAGGGGACCUAGCAUAACUCAAAUUGGAUUCUCAUUGGGCCCUCCCAUAAUGGGCUUCAAUGAGACCCAUAGCCUACACUUGCCACUCAACUGAGCUUCUACUCAAAAGAUGCAAAACCCAAUCUAAAAUGUGAUCACUAAUUAAUUGGGCUCAUUAUAGAAUAGACUAUCUAUUAACCCGUUUUUGCAAAUACAAAUUAUUCAAUUAAUGUUAGCCCAUAUAAAAAUUUUCCAACAUGAUAUAUAUAAGAGAAGAUCUACUAGAAUUGGUAUCAAUUAAAAAAUUAUAUUUUACUAAAAAUAAUUUAGAAACUUAAACUUUUAAAAAGAUUUGGAAUAGUUUUCUUUUUAAAAUUAUUAAUUUUAUAUUAUUUCCCAAUUUAUUUUUAUUAUUUGGAAAUGAAUUUUUAAAUUGAGAAUUUAAAAAAUCUUUUUAUUAUUUGGAAAGAUCUUUUAAAUUCUCAAUUUAAAAAUUCAUUUCCAAAUUAUUUUUAUUAUUUGAAUUUUUUUUUAAAUUCUUAAUUUAAAGUUCUUUUNNNNNNNNNNNNNNNNNNNNNNNNNNNNNNNNNNNNNNNNNNNNNNNNNNNNNNNNNNNNNNNNNNNNNNNNNNNNNNNNNNNNNNNNNNNNNNNNNNNNGUAAGUCAUCGUCUAAAAAGAUUUUUAAGUCAAAAUGAAAUUAAACAAAAUUGUUAACUAACAAAUUACAAGACUUACUAUCCCAACAUCCCCCAUAUAUACUUGGGAACCAUGGCAGACAUAUACAGACCGAUCUUCACGAUCCUGGUCGGGAAUGCAUCGAGCAUUGGUGGUGAGCAAUAAGGAGGUGGCCAAAGAAUGCCUCGCCAUCAAUGACUCAGCAGUGUCCGGCCAUCCCAAAUUGGUAGCCCCAAAACAUCUGGGUUACAACUAUGCCAUGUUGGCUUUAUAUAUAUAUAUAUAUAUAUAUAUAUAUCAAUAGAAAUACUUAAACAAAAUAAAUAUUUACAUGUGAGGAAAAAAUAUUUACUUAAAUUUCAGAGAAUUAAUAAUAAGGUUAUAUUUGGUUUCUAAAAAGUAUUAAAGAAAAAAAAUAUAAAAGAAAAUGAUUUUUUUAUGUUUGGUUUUAUUAUAAUUUUUUUAAUGAAAAUUAAAUAUAAUUAGAAAUUUAUACAUUUUAAAAUUAUUUAAUCUUUAUAUAAUUGAGGAAAUUAAGUGAAAUGAAUUUGAGGAAACAUAUAAAAAUAAUUUAUUAAUUUUGAAUAUAUAUAUAUAUAUAUAUAUAUUAUUUUUUUUCUUUUUUUUUGUUCCACUUUUCAUCUCUAUUUUCUUUUCCUCAAAAUUUUCAAGAAUCAAGCCAAAGUAUUUCUAUUUAAUUGUAAUAAAUACAUGAUAGUUUUUUUUUUUUUCACGAAUUGUAGAUACCAUUUAUGUGCACUUGUCAUAAAUUACUUUUACGAUAAUUUUAAUUAUCUAAAUUAUUAUAUCGUAAUGUAAUAAAAUAGUUCCUUUAUUUUUUAUAAAAAAUUUUUAUAUUUUAAUUUUAUAAUAAACAUACUCUUUCCUGCAUUUCUUGAAAUUUUUUUAUAUAUAAAUUAUGAAAACGUAAAUUAUGGUUGCUUUUUUUUUUUUUUUUUUGGUUUUAGAAAAAAUAAUGAAAAUGCAUUUCAUAGCUGUGGAUUUUGAUAAAUUGGAAAAAAAAAAAAAAAAAAAGAGAAAGGUGGAAAGAAUUUAAAAUGUGUAUUUUUAAAAUUUAUUAAGAAAUUUAACCUUCUUUUUUCGUGGAUAUGGGCGAUUAGGCCAAACCAUAUAAAUAUUUUGUCUUCUUUUUCAUUUAUUUUAUUUUUGUUGUUGCAUUUGAUAUUGCAAUUUCCCUCCUCCCCCCAACAAGUGGAAUUAAACUUGUGGUGGGAAGAUCAUGGGAAAAUUGAAAAGGAUGUCAAGCAUAAAAUAUGAUAUUAAAUCAUUUGAUGGAAAUAAUAAUAAUAAUAAUUUUAGCAUAUGGCAGAUGUUUUGGUAUAACAAAGACUUCUUAAAGUGUUAAAAAGGUAAGAAAGCAAAGAACAUGAUAGAAGAUGAUUUAUGGGAGAAGUUAUACACAAUUUAUAUGUCAACAUCCCAAGAAGAUGGAUGAAGGAUUAGAUGUUGAGGUCAUAUAAAUAAAUUUAUUAAGUAUAUACCCAGGUAUUAAGUGUAGAUAUUAAGAUGGAUAGAAAGAUCAAAUCAUUCUUUCAUUGGCUUUCUACCAAAAUCGUACGAGAUAGUAGUAACUGCACUUUUAGUUGGAAAGACAACUAUUACACACCCUAAAUACUAAAAUUAUGAUUUAAUUAUAAUAUCAAAUGAUUAAUUUAUAAUUUUAAAAUUUUAUAUAUAAAUUUAUGAAUAAAAUACAAUGUUUGAAAUAAAAAACUAAUUAUUUAAUUAUUUUCAAAUUCAUGAAUUUUAAUUCUAAUGUACAUAAUAACCGUAAUUUUUUUUAUAAAGUUGUUACUAAAUAUAUAUUUCCAAAUAGUAACAUAAUAACAUUUUAUUUUACAAUUUCUAAAUUUAAAAUUUUAUUUCUUUUAAAAGUUGAAAUAAUAUGGUCUAAUGAAUUGAGAGUUUUUAUAUAUGUCUUGUAUGUUGUUUAAGUUAUGUAAUUUCACCAUGUAAAAUAGACUAUUUUUAAAAGUUUUAAAAUUUAAGAUAAGAAAUAAUAGAUUUUGUUACUUUUCAUGUUGGUGAUACUCAAUUUUUUAGAUUUUUUAUUUUUGAUAAUUUUAUUUAGGUGAACUUUUUAAAAAAAAAAAAAAAGAAAAAAAAAAGAAAUUUAACUAAAGUUGUCAAUUUAUAAUUAAAAUUGGAAAAUCAAAUUUUGAUUUACCUAUAAUUAAAUUCUAAAAUAUUUUUAUUAGAUUCAAGGAGGGUAUUCCAUUAUUUAUAUUACAAACUUAAAGUUAAGCAGACAUUUACUUCAAUGUGCUAUACAAUAAAUAAAAUGAUGCAAAAUGGUGCACCACACCCAACUUGCGCACUUUAUGCACACCAUUCAAAUCGUGCAUCUCCAACAUACGACCUAAAUUGUGCACCUCUAAUGCAUCACUUGAAUUGUGUACUACUUAAAUUAUGCAUGUCUCCGGUUUAAAACACUUUGUGCAUCCCCAAUUAUGCACCUCCUUCUCUUUUAACACCUACUUAGAUUUGCAUAUUAUCAGGGCUAGCUUCUUUUCCAUAGACAGUUAUUCUUUUGUUUAUAUGUUUUAAUUGAUGCAUAUUCACUUUCUUCUUCUCUUAAUUAAAUUGCAAUAAUUAAACAUACAAUUUAAAUAAAUUUUAAAUUUUAUUUUUAACUAAAAACAAAAGUAUAUGUAUACAAAUAUAUACUGCUUAAACAAUUAAUUUUAAAAAAUUAUUCUUUGAAAACACCUCAGACAAACUAAGACAUGGUUCCAGAGAAAACUAAAUAUGAUGCUUUUAAUAGUUGCUUUGUAAUUUUAUUUUCAAGCAUGUUGCAUGAUAUAUACUUUCCUUGAAUUGAUCUUCCAAAUUUUAUUUUUGUCAACAAUAUACCUAUGUAAGAGAUGGUUAGUUUAGAAUUUUUCUCUUAAACCAUAGGGAAAAAUGGAAAAAGAAUACCAUUAUUUUCGUACAAGGUCAUAUAGUUUAACAAUGUUUGAAGAGGGUUUCAUUAUAUACUAUCAAACAAUUAAUUUGGUGUGGUCACUUACGUAUUUUUAAGUUGUUGUCUUCUUCAUUUUGUAGGCUCUAAUUGCAGGAGGUAGCGACACAAUAGUUGUCACUCUAACUUGGGUGCUCUCUCUCUUCUAUUAAACAACCAUGACACCUUAAAAAAAGCACAAGAAGAAUUGGAUACACAAGUUGGCAAGGAAUGAUUAGUGAAUGAACAAGAUAUCAGUAAAUUGUUCUAUCUCCAAGCCAUUGUUAAAGAGAUAUUAUAGUUAUAUCCACCACGACCACUUGCAGGGCCACGCCAAUUCACUGAGGACUGCACCUUGGAUGGUUACCAUGUCUCUAAAGGCACCCGAUUAAUAUUGAACAUUUCCAAAAUCCAAAAGGAUCCAAGAAUUUGGUCAAAUCCAAUAGAAUUCCAAUAAGAGAGGUUUCUCACCACCCAUACGGACCUUGAUCCUCGGGGAAAAUAUUUUGAAUUUAUACCCCCAUUUGGCGCCAAUAGAAAAGCAUGUCCUAGAAUGACUUUUGGUCUUCAAAUGCUACAUUUAACGUUGGCCAAUUUUUUACAAGUGUUUGACUUUUCAACUGCGUCAAAUGCACAUAUUGAUAUGCAUGAGAGUCUUGGACUUACAAACAUGAAAUCUACCCCACUUGAAGUACUCAUUUCCCUACACUUGUCUUCUUGUAAUCUUUACAACUAAAACAUUGAAACAAAAAGGUCAAAGUCGGCAUAGCUAGCUAGUCUUAGUUUGAAGACGUUAGCUUCAGUCAAUCUACAAUAAGAUUUAGAAGUGUAUUAAAAGUAGGUUGGACUUGAUACUUUUAAGGAAUGCGAUGCUAAUUCUAUUUGAAUGGGUAAUGAUUCAGACUCUAAAAUCAUUAGGAUUUAAAUCAUAAAGGUGAGGAUAUUUUAUGGUAUUAUAAGGAUGUUGAGUAAUGUUAAGCAUGUUCCCAAGUCGAGGAGGAGUUUAAAUUUCUUUAAGGGCUUUGGACACUUUGGGUUGUGAUUUUUUUGUGAAGCAUAGUAUUAUGGGUAUCAAUAAAGUGCUUUGACAACUAUGAAAAGGAAAAAAGUGAAAAAUUUAUACACCUUAAUCAAUAAGACAACUUAUAGGUGGAGUUCUAAAGGAGUCAUGUUAACAGAAAGAAGGAAUGACACGUAUUUAUUCUUCAUAAUUAUGUAUAAUUAAGAGAUUUGAGUCAAUGCAUGUGGAGAUUAUUGGUAUUUGAAUCUAAUUAUUUAUUUUUUAUUUUUGAAAAAGUCAAUAUUUAUAAAGUCUAUGUUUUACUAAAUUACCCUUUUGAAUUUGACUAAGAUCAGGAAACUAUUGAUUUAGGGUUAAUUCACAUGAUUUUACAAAUAUGUGGUUUUAAAUAAGAUUUAUACUAAAAAGGAAAAAAAAAAUAAGAAAAGAGGAAAACUUAAAUAGGUAAAUAGUCUAUUGAGUUUUGGAUGGAGAAAUGUUGAGAGAAUUUGAAGAUUUUCUUUGUGAAGCAUAUUAAUAAAUUUUAUCUUCCUUUCCCAGGUCUUUUCUAUUUAUUUUAUUUUUCCUGCUCAAUUUGAGUGUUUCAAUUUUUCCAGAACAUGGACAGUACAAAUGGCCAGAUGUUUCAUAUACGGUGCAUGUCAUAAAGUCGCCGCCUUCAGCUUGGCAAGAAAUCAAGCGAAACUGGACUUGAACUUGUCAUUCUUAAGGAAAUAAGCGCCAGCUAGGGUUCAAAUUUUAUGAUGUGAGCAUGCAACACUUAUCCCAAUCCACUGUUCUACUAAUAGGAUGUAGAAGACAACAAGCAAUUGUAGGAGCUUAUCUUUUUUUAUUUUUAUCAAGGUAGUUUCUGAAAGGAUGUGGAUCAACAUCGAUCUGUAGUGAUCCCUAGAAGGCUCCACUGUUCUAAUAAUAGGAUGUAGAAGACAGCAAGCAAUUGUAAGAGCUUAUCUUUUUUUCUUUUUUUUUUAUCAAGGCAGUUUCUGAAAGGAUGUGGAUCAACAUCGAUCUGUAGUGAUCCCUAGAAGGCUCCACUGUUCUAAUAAUAGGAUGUAGAAGACAGCAAGCAAUUGUAGGAGCUUAUCUUUUUUUUUUUUUUUUUUAUCAAGGCAGUUUCUGAAAAGAUGUGGAUCAACAUCGAUCUGUAGUGAUCCCUAGAAAGGCUGUUUUCUAAAUAUAGUAUUAUAAUAAAAAUAACGUUUGCCGAAAUUAAUAACGUUUGGAUAUGUUACAUGAGAGAAACAAACACGAGUACUCCUUGUAGUACAUGAGAAACCAUAUAUAUAUAUAUAUAUGCUUGAACGGGGGAGCUACCCACAGUUUAACCACAGUGAUCCAAUAACGACAUUCUGAGCUACAAUGGAUUUCCUUCUCCAAUGCCUAAACCCUGUCAUGGUUGGAGCGUUUGCAAUACUCGUCCUCUCAUACCACCUGUUAUUAUGGAGGUCUGGAGCUGGUAAGAGCAGAAUGGCACCUGAAGCUUCUGGUGCAUGGCCCAUAAUAGGUCACCUGCACCUGUUAGGUGGAUCUAAGAAUUUGCCUCACUUACUUUUUGGAACCAUGGCCGACAAGUAUGGACCAGUAUUCAGCAUCCGGCUGGGAUUAAAAAGAGCUGUGGUUGUGAGUAGUUGGGAAAUGGCCAAAGAAUGCUUCACCACCCAUGACCUGGCUCUGGCCUCCCGUCCUGAGCUUGUGGCCGCCAAAUAUUUGGGAUAUAACUAUGCCAUGUUUGCUUUCUCUCCUCACGGUGCAUACUGGCGUGAAGUGCGUAAGAUAGCCACUCUAGAGCUACUCUCGAACCGCCGGCUAGAGUUGCUGAAGAAUGUCCGAAUCUCAGAGGUGGAGACAUGCAUGAAGGAACUAUACAAGCUUUGGGCAGAGAAGAAAAGCGAAGCAGGCGUUGUUUUGGUGGACAUGAAGCAAUGGUUUGGGCACUUGUCUCUGAACGUGAUUCUUAAGAUGGUUGUUGGAAAACGAUAUUUCGGUUAUGCAGCCGAAAGUAAAGAGAAAGAGGCCCAGCAGUGCCAGAAGGCGAUUAGGGAAUUCUUUCGUUUGUUGGGACUCUUUGUGGUGUCGGAUGCCCUUCCUUUUCUUGGAUGGCUUGACGUGGGUGGACAUGUGAAAGCCAUGAAGAAGACUGCAAAAGAAUUGGACGGUAUUGCUCAGGAAUGGUUAGAGGAACACCGACGGCGAAAAGAUUCGGGUGAAGCUGAUGGUGACCAGGACUUCAUGGACGUGAUGCUGUCCAUUCUGGGUGCCACAGACCCUAAUGGCUAUGAUGCUGAUACCAUCAACAAAGCCACAUCCCUGGUAUGCACAUUAUUCCUUGAGUAUCUUUACUGCUUGUAAAAAAAAGAAGCCAUAUUUUCAUGCUUUAUCAUCUUUAAUCCAGAUUCGAGUACUUAAGGCCUUGGUUGGAAUAGCUUCCUAUUUUUGCUUUAGUUGCAAGUUGAAACUAAUCAAAAGUCACAAUUUUUAAAAGGUAAUUAUAAUAAUGGUAUUAUAAAAGUUCAAACAUAAAAUAACUUUUUGCAUGCGAGAAAAAUAGAGUUAAAAAAAAAAAAACAAUAUUCUCAUGAUUUUCAUAUUAAAUUUUAAAAAAAUUGUAAACUUUUAGAUAAAAAUUAGACAAAUUUAUCAUAGAAACUCGUACUAAACUUAAGAAAAAAAAAGCCUUCUUUUUCUAAGAAAUUGAUACAUAUAGACUUUUAUUAUAUGUUGGUUUUUGUCAAAAGAGUAACAUGAGCAGCUUAGAAAAGCAAUUAGAAUGAAGUACAAUUGGGCUGAGAAUCUGAGUAUAACUAGAAUUUUGUAGAACCUCUCAUGCUAGGAUAAUUGGGCUGGACUGGUAAUGAUACAAUUCUACGUUGGAGUUGGGUGGCCCAAAAAGAUUAUGCUGUUAUAAUAGCUGGUUCUCUCAUUUAGGAAGAGGCAGCCCAAUUUGCAUCCCUGAACGAUGCACCGCUCGGUGGCUGGGACCAUGGAAAAUUUUCUUGUUAGAAAGAUCAUGAAAUUAUGGUCCUUAGUUUGAGGCCUCUUUGAUUGGGCUUCUUGAGUUAGUUAAGGCAAUUGGGCCUUUCAAAGGAUUUCCUUAGUAAAUUUACAUGUUUUUUUUUUUUUUUGUAUUUUUGUAAAAUGCUAAAUUUAUAAGUGAGUUUCAAAUUCAAGCUAAACAUAUCAAUUUUGAUUGAAAAAAAGAAAGAAAGAAAGAAAACAUAAGUCUUUUUCCACCCUUAAUCAUGUCACUACUUUUAAUUUUAUUAACAUUUAUUAAUUGUUUAUAUUUCACAGAUUUUGAUUGCAGGAGGCACCGACACUACAUCUGUUACUCUAACAUGGGCAAUCUCAUUAUUAUUGAACAAUCCACAUGUGUUAAGAAAAGCUCAAGAAGAAUUGGACACUCAUGUUGGAAAAGAGAGACUAGUAAAUGAAAUGGAUAUAAGCAAGUUGGUCUACCUUCAAGCAAUCGUUAAAGAGACAUUGAGGUUAUAUCCAGCAGCCCCACUUUCAGGACAACGUCAAUUUAUCCAAGAUUCCGUAUUAGGCGGUUACCAUAUCCCAAAAGGCACUCGUCUUCUAUUGAACCUCACCAAGAUCCAAAGAGACCCAAGAGUAUGGUUGAACCCAACAAAGUUCCAACCAAGUAGAUUCCUCACCACCUACAAAGAUGUUGAUGUUAAGGGUAAACAUUUUGUGUUGACACCAUUUGGUGGUGGACGAAGAAUUUGCCCUGGAGCAGCUUUUGCCCUUCAAGUGUUACCUUUAACACUAGCCAACUUCCUACAUAAAUUUCAACUUUCAACUCCAUCAAAUUCACCCAUUGAUAUGAGCGAGAGUUUUGGAAUAACAAACAUCAAAUCCACUCCACUUGAAGUUCUCAUCUCCCCACGCUUAGCUUCUUAUAAUCUUUAUAAGUAGAACUUAAGGUCACUGAGAGAGACUAUUUAAAAGAACCUAGUGCUAUGCAAUGAAAAAUAAAAAUAAAUUUUAUAUAUGUGGCAAAAGUUUAGUAUUAUUUUAAAACAGUUACUAAUGUGUGUAUUGCUUUAAUAUUGUCUUAGCCCGAAUUUAAUGAAAAAUAUUUUCAGCACCUUUUUCGUGAGGACAAAUUAUGACCCAAUUUCUUGUUAUGUUUUUUCCUAAUGAGUUUCCAAGUUGAUUAAUUGGUCUCUCUUUUUUGAUAUAUUUCAGCUACCUUUUUGUACAUCAUUAAAGUAGUAAAUAUAUAGAGACCAAAAUUACGACUUCUCCGAUUUCAUUGUAAAAAGUUGGGAUGUGCAAGGUGGGUCGAUUCAACUUUGAGUAUUAAAAUCAAAUCGAAUUGAUCUAAUUAGUUUGUAUAUAUACACUGAAGAAUUGAUUUAAUUGAACUUAAAGGAGAAAAAUGAUUAGUUUGACUUGAUUAACAAUAAUCUAUAUAAGUUGGUUUAUUUUGCUUCAGUUUAUAACAUCAAAAAUCAACUUUUUUGUUUUGCUAAUUUGGACUAAAAUAAAAAAGCCCGUGAUUAGACAUUGUUGAUCAAAUGAUAUUAUUACAACUAAUUUCAGGUCAUAUUAUUAUAACUUAAUUACAAGAAUAGAUAUUAUUAAUUAUAACCCAUGUCAAUCAUAUUAAGUAGACCAGUCAUAGAUAAAGUUAUAAAGGUAUGAUUUGAGGAUCAUGGAAUGAGAAAAAUGUAUACCAAUUAAUAAUGGAACCAAUAGUUAUAUUGCACAUUAUUAGUAUGUGCAUGUACGUACAACUUUCAAUUCAAUUCAGUUUGGUUUAUUAAUUUUCUAAAUAGGUAAUCGAAUUGGUAUAAUUUAGUUUUAUAUUUAAAAAACCAAAAUUAUUUAAAAAAUAUUUGAUUUGGGUAAGUUGGAUUGAUUUUAUCAAUUGUACACCCUAAAACUAAAGGGGUGUCCAUUUAUCUAGUUACAAUUUUGCCCCAGUUGAUUCACAUUUUUACUUAUUAUUAUCCACUUUGUUUACGCAUGAAUUAUAAUUUUGCAGAAUUUUGCUUUAUGAGAUUCAUAUUUGUACUUAUUAUUGUCAACUUUGUAUGCUCAAAAGUUACAAUUUCCCCUCAUCAUGAGAUUCACAUGUGUUGCUGUCAUAAUUGACUUUCCACAAUCAUGUAUAAAUUAUUACAUUUUAAUAGAUGCAUUAUCAUUUUGGCAUUAAACAAAAUGGAAAGAAGUCUCUGAAGUGAAGUUAAUCUCACUUAGGUAAUGCAAGUAACAAUAAUAGAGCAAUUAAAUGCAUAAUUAAAUAAAUGAAAAAGAAGAGAUAACAAGUAUGAACUCCGAUUAAUAUAUAGCCCAAUCCUAUACUCUCCUCAAGCUCCAAAUACAAGUUGAGGUUCCACUAGCAUUUAAGGCUUCAAUCGAGCGUUAAUCCUUUACACUCAAUUCUCAAUUUCAAUGACCUUCUUACACUUUCAUUCAAAAAAAUUCUCACUCUUGAAUCUAAUUAAAGAUAACAAAGUCUAAACUCAAGAUGAUAUAAAUGAAAACCAAGAUGGUUUUUUCUUGGCUAGGAUUUCUAAGUUAACAAGGAAGAUCAAUCGGGUUAAGUUAGAUUUUGAUAUCUUAGUUUGCGAGUUUUUUAGGAUCCUAUUUUAAUCUUAUUGUUUUAUCCCAAAACCGUGUGAGAGAGAAAUGAUUAAUUUUAGAUGACAAUUGUACUCCAAAAAUUAUUGGUUCAAAUUUAUUUUACCAUACCACCAUGUUAUAGUUAAAGACACAAAAUUGAAAUUAAAGUUAAGUAUAUUGUUCUCGAUUUGGUUUAGUAAUGACACAAUUAAUAAUUGAACUUAAUGUAAAAACAAGUCUAAAAACUUCAAAAGUUUAAAAUGUAAUUUCAUUAUUAGUUUUCACUUGCCAACUUUAAUAGAUUAUUUUUCAUAAUAUUAGCAAAGGAUACACACACCAAAAGAAAAAUAUUAUAAUGUCAUUGGUGAAUUGAUCUAAACUUUCAAAAUAAAGGUUUUGAUUAAAAAAUCAUAAAACUUUUUUCAAGGAUAAAAAAUAAAGGUCAAGAAUUUAAACUACUAAACCUCAAUAUAAAUUUUGGAUGAUUCAUUAAUGUCGUCCAUUAAGAAGCAUGAGGAAGUACUGAGUCAUAAAUGUGAAGAAGAUGAAUAAAUAUUUAUCGAUAUAAGAUCUAAGAGGUAAUAGUGUGUUACUUAGGUAAAUCUAUAUACGCUUAUUUCAAAGUUCAUGGAAUCUUAUUAUGAUUAACAAACACAUGUUUUUAACAUCCAUAGAGGUUGAAAUAAUACGUGGAGAUGACUUUUAACUUAUAUUUUGUGUGUUUAUGUAUAAUUUUGAUUUCAUUUUACGGUGAUUCUAAAAAGUAUUUUUAGUUUAAGAAGUGUUUUAAAAAAAAAAAAGUAUUUAACAAAAUUUAAUAAACACUUUUAAGAAUAUGAAAAUUCACUUACAGUAUUUUUUGAAAAAAAUAUUUGACAAAUAAUUAUCUUAAAAACAUUUUCAUAUAAUUAUAUUAAUGAAUUUGAGAUAGACUUGAAAUUUAUUAAUUUAUAAUAUCUUAUUUGAACAUAAAAUUUUAACCAAUACCUAUUCAAUCCCGUAAUUAUUAAAAUCAAGAAUAUACACUCAUAAUUUAUAUUAAUAUAAAGAAGUAGAAAGCACUUUCAUCUCAAAUUUAAGCAUAGGGCCCAAAUUUUGUUGAGAGCUGGCCGGAUGUCAUCACAAGCAAGAAAACUAGAAAACAUGGCUAAAGGCUGCUACAGAUGUACCUACGUGCUUGACUGAAAGAAAGGAUUUGCUACAAGAUAAAUUGUCCCCUUGUCUGUAAACCCUCAAGUUGUGACAGCAAAAAAAACAAAAGUAGGCCAAAGAAUUUGUCACUAUUAAGAGCCCAGAGAGGUCUACGUUCAAACUCUGGUAAGAGGAGCGUGCACCACUUGUUCACUGUUUAGGGAUUCAGUCGAUAUUUCUAGGCUCCAUGGUGCAUGGUAGGCAACCGCCCUGUGCGAUGCUGUAACGAUGAAGAUAUACAGAUAUUGCGCUCCAAAUGUCCGGAUGUUGCUUUCUUGUUUCACUGAAGUUUUCCUGAGUGCGAUCGAUAUCAGCAUUUGCUUUAUCGGUACCCACUAUUGACCGAGUUAACUUAUUUGGGAGCAGCUUCUUUCAUACUGCGCCUAUUACGACAAUGAUAUAGAACCCAUUAGUACACAUUUCAUUGGUUUGAGCACAAUGAUCCUCGAGUUUUGGGUUAAAAUGACCCAUUUUUUAAACUUAACGUUGAAAAUGAACUCAUUUUCAAACUAUUGUUCAAAAUGGCCUCUUUGAUGCCACAUCAACCCAUAAAAUCAAUAUUUUAUACCCUUUUUACUUUACCUUUCCAAUCACCCCCGUCCUCCGUUUAAAAUGGCCUUUUUGAUGUCACAUCAGCCCAUAAAAUCAAUAUUUUAUACCCUUUUUACUUUACCUUUUCCAGCCAUCCCCGUCCUCUGUUCUCUCCCGUUCUACUAUCUCCUCUGUGCGAUUUUUUAUGGGGCAUUGAUUAAUAAUAUUAAUAGCCAUAGAUAACAGAUUUAAAAAAAAAAUAAAAGUUGUAAAUAAUGAUAAAUAUAUUUGAAUGGAAUGAUUUUUAAUUCUUUUUUCUUUUUUUAGAAUUUGAGUGGAAUAGGGAAUGUGUUUGCUAAGAAUUUCGACCGACUCAAUAGAUAAUGUGAUUUUUAAAUAUAUUUUUUGGUUAUCUAAAUUUAAUGUUUCUAUCAUAAACUGGAUGUAUCUUGCAUGAAUAUAUAUAUAACAUGUUUGCUAGGAAAAAAAUGAUUUUGGAUAUAAACAAUUUCAAAGUAAAAAAUGAAUAAAUAAUUUUUUUCUAAUAAAGAAAUCUUAAAUAAUUUUGUCUCAACAGCUCUUAAAUAUAAAAUACUCAUCUAGAAUUUUUUUGCCUUGAUAUCAAGAAAACUUCUCAAAUAAGAGUAAACACUUUUUUUUUAAAAAAAAAGCCAGAUUCUUAAAGUAUAGACAUUUUCUCUUUAAAAAGACUUUUGUAUUUGGUUAUAUCCAAAUUUCUAAUAUAUAUAUAUAACUAAUGCAAAAUACUUACACAAAAGAGGGCUAGCUCAAUUGGUGGCUCACAGUUAUUUUUGAAAAAAAAAAUGUUGUCUCACAUUAUUCAAUAGUAUUGAUCAACAUUUCCCCUAAAAAGGAGAGAUUCAAAAUUUUUCAAUGUAACCUGAUAAAAGAAAAAUANNNNNNNNNNNNNNNNNNNNNNNNNNNNNNNNNNNNNNNNNNNNNNNNNNNNNNNNNNNNNNNNNNNNNNNNNNNNNNNNNNNNNNNNNNNNNNNNNNNNUUUAUAUAUAUUUUUUGAGGAUAUAAAUAUAAAAUGUCUCUCACAAACAGGGGGUGUCUCGCGGAAAUAUAUAUAUAACACGUGUGCGGGGAAAAAAAAAUUUUUGUAUAUAUACACUUUCACAGAGAAAAAAGUAUAUAUAUUUUUUUUCUAAAAAAAAGAUAUUAAAAAAUUUUGUCUCACCAGCUCUCAAAUAUAUAAUACUCAUCUAUAAUUUUUUUGCCCCGAUAUCACAAAAAAUUCUCAAAUAAGAGUAAACACUUUUUUUUUAAAAAAAAAAAGAGAGUUUGCCAACAUAUGCGCUAGCCCUCUUUUGUGUAAGUAUUUUGCAUUAGUUAUAGUUAUAUAUAUAUAUAUAUAUAUUAGAAAUGUUGUAUGAUUUUUGAAAAAAAAUAAAAGUGAGCUAGCUGUUCAAAAUUAUUUUUGAAAAAAAUAAUUUUGUCUCAAAUUAUUCAAUAUUAUUGAACAACAUUUCCCCUAAACAGUAGAGAUUCAAAAUUUUUCAAUGUAACCUGAUAUAAGUAAAAUAUGAAUGAAUUGAAAAAAAACGACAAUUUCUAACAACAUUAAUUUCAUUAUUAAAAUUUUAAAAAUUUGAACAGCAUCUCCCCUAAAUAAUAGAGAUUAAUAUUUUUUUCAUGUAACCUAAUAUAAGCAAAAUAAGAAUGAAUUGACAAAAAAUAAUAAUUUCAAACAAACAAAUGUCAAUAAGAUGUUCAAUAAGAUAGUUUCUACAUAUAUCUUAAAACGAUUAAGGUCAAUACUAGUAAAUUUAAAAAAAAUAAGUACAAUAAGAUGUUCAUAAAGUAUAUCAACUCCUCCUAUCAUUGGUUUCUCUAUUAGGACAAGAACGCCGAUUGUGACCCGAUUGCUUGCAAAGUCCACAUGUUUGUGGAGUCCUAGUUUCCCUUGCAUCCAUCUCAUUAUGCAAACGACUUGAUUUUGGUCGACCAAAAGUUAGUCGUUUCAUUGAGUCUGAAGGCACAAUUAUCGGUCCAUUAUAUUGAGGCCACUCCAACUCAUCAAAUAUGGGAUAAAACAAGGGAGCCCAUGUUGAUAGGUAAGCACGUGUGGUGUAAUAACCAUGUACAAAUUGUCGAAAAUCAAUUGCUCGACAAUGACAAGUAGCAAGAAUGUGCGAACAUGGGAAUCCUAACAAAAGUGUUUUGUUACAUGUGCAAGACCCCGUUUGAAGGGUAACAUGAUAUGUGCGAGGUUUCCUAUUACUACUUCCAACAGAGUGUCUAGUUUUAACAUGAAAACGUCUCGCCACAUGAUCAUACAAAAGAACCUCAUGUGCACCUGCCUUAACAACUUUAGCCUUUAUCUUGGCGUCAAUAUGUGGAAUGAAUUCUUCACCUGAAGCGAGCCGACUAGCACCAUGCUCCCGCUUGACUGUGAAGUAACUGUUAACCCGAUAAAAAGUUAACUGGACUAAAGUUGUUAUUGGUAAGUUACGAGCACCCUUAAGGACACCAUUAAAAACUUCAGACAUAUUAGUUGUCAUAAUCCCAUAUCUCCUCCCACCAUCAUAUGAGAGUGCCCAUUUUUCAAGAGGAAUUUGCUCCAACAAAUUUCUAGCCUCGACAUUUAUCUGGCCAAUUGUAUCCAUGUGAGAAAUAAAUUUUUUAACUUUACUCUCCAUAGCAGCCCUACACAUGAGAUCCUUUAAAGUCUUAUCUUUGAACUUUGUGUUGAAAUUACUCGCUAAAUGACGCAUGCAAAAUCUAUGACAAGCAUCUAGCUGAGUCCAUCCCGAAUAUGUUUCAUUGACAGCAGCUAUAAUGCCAGGAUGACGAUCAGAAAUCAGACACAACCCUUUCCUUUGUGUUACUCCAACUCGGAUACAUGCCAAAAACCAACUCCAACUAUCUAUAUUCUCUACUUCUGUAAUGGCAAAUGCAAGUGGAAACAAUUGGUUAUUACCAUCACAUCCCAUAGCAAUCAGCAAAGUUCCUUUAUAUUUUCCAUACAAAUGUGUCCCAUCAAUACUGAGAAUUGGUCGACAGUGUGCAAACCCUUUAAUAGAUGAAGCGAAUGCCCAAAAAACAUGCUGAAAAAUUUCUUCAUUCGGAUUGUUUCCAAGAACCAUUUUGGAAUACAUAAUGCAUCCAGGAUUUGACUGCUCCAAGGCAAGGAAGAAACGAGGCAACUCUGCAUAAGACUUGUACCAAUCACCAAAUAAUCGAGUCAUUGUUUUCCUUUUUGCCUUCAUUGUUUUUUGAUAAGAAAUUUGGUAACCAAAUUGUUCCGCAACAACAGCUUGAAUUGCAGCAACUCUAAUGGUCAUUUCUACCUUCACCAAUGUUUCAAUAUACUUAGAUACAAAGCUAGAAUCCAACUGUGAAUGAUCUUGAUUAAUACAUGGAUUGACACAUGUAUGAGGACCUUUGUACUUUGUGAUUCUAAAAAUACCCGUAUCUUUCACUGUCAUUGCCUUUAGUCGCCAUUGGCACUCUGGUGCUUUUUUACAUUGAAGAACUAACACACUUGCAUUUGAUCUAUAAACAGUAAACUCUUGGUGCGCCUUUAUGGAAAACAUCUUCACAGCAUGUUGCAAAUCUGAUUUUGAGGAAAAUAUUUGGCCAAUUAAUAAUUAUCCAUCAACAUUUCCUAAAGUUGGCUUUUUUCAUGGAGUCCAAUCACUUACAACACAAUUAAUUGCCGCAUCCAUAUUUAAAAAUUGUGGUGUAGGUGGCAUAUGGUAUGAAACGGGUACAAAUGUUUCCUGUAGGUUGUCAUUAGAGAUAUUAAAUUGGGUACCAUGUGGAGAGGCAACUAGUGAUGUGUUUUCAACCUCAAACUCAACCUCAGGAUUAUUAGACCUAUCACCAACUUCAAGGUUCAAAAAUCUUGUGCUUUCACAUUCCACAACUUGUUGGACCAUCACCAAAUCAAUAUUUUCUGUUUGACAACAAUUUUCAUCAUCAUUAGGUAAAUGAAUCUCAUCUGUGUCGAUUGCAUCAUCUCUAUCAUCUUCCUCAUCUCUCUCAUUUUCGUCAUCAACAUCAGUAUCACCUGUUGAUAAUCGUGUCAAAUGACCCAUUUCAUUACUCAAAUGAUAAUGGUUGGGAGUUUGCUCUAUGAAUAAUUGAACUGAAGACAUUCCAUACUUCGAUGGCACCAGUAGCAUACGUGCAACUGUCCGAUCAUUUCUCACCACUAAUGGUUGAAAUUUGUUCAUUUCAGUUGGAUGAUGACAUUUCAAGACUAAUUGAUAGUCUCUGUCAACACCAAUGAUAUCAUAUAUCAUCUUCAACAACUCCACAAAGGUCGUAUGAAUGGGCACAUCUAUAGGCUCAAUCUCUACAUUAUUUCUAAUAUAUCUCAAAUCCGUUUCUGUCCUCAAAAUUGUUCCAUUCCAAUAACAUAGCACUUCUACUGUGGAAUCAGUCAUAAUUGCCUUCACAUAAAUAAUAACAAAAGGUUAUUACAUAAAAAAAAUUAUAUUUAUUUAAGUAAAAAAUAAUGACAGAUUUUAAUAUACAUAUGUUUGUGUAUACAUGGACUUAAAUAUAAAAAAAAAAAACAAACCCAAAACCUCCAUUUUUUUAAACAACAACUAUCUCAUUUCCUGUUCUUGUUUUGUUAAAAACUCAUUUUAAUUAAGCCCAACAGCUGUAAUGGGAGGGCCUCGGUUUUUUGCAACAAUAAUUUACUCUCCUUGUAGCCAAUUCUCACCAACCAAACAUAGCAACAAAACACAAUCAACACAGCCACAAUCAACACAGCCCAACAAAAAAAAUUCUAAAAACCGAGAUUUUGAGAUGAGAAAAAAAAUUGGAAAGUGCCAAAAACUUUAUAUAAGCCAAAAAGAAGAUUAUGACUCACCUUAAACUUUUUUGUAGCUCCACCGUUUUUUUUAGUGGCCCACUAGUGAGGCUAGGGUUUACAAAAAAAAAUCGCACAGAGAGAUAGCAGAAUGGGAGAGAACAGAGCUCGGGGAUGGUUGGAGAAAAGGUAAAGUAAAAAGGUAUAAAAUAUUGAUUUUAUGGGCUGAUGUGACUUCAAAGGGCUAUUUUGAACAGAAAAGAUAAAGUAAAAAGGGUAUAAAAUAUUAAUUUUAUGGGCUAAUGUGAUUUCAAGGGGCUAUUUUGAACAAUAGUUUCAAAAUUAGCCCGUUGUCAACUUUUAAGUUUAAAUGGGCCAUUUUGGCCCAAAAGUCAUGAUCCUCAACCUAGCAUGAUGAUCAGUCACCUCAUCUGCAGACCACUUUAGGAAAUAAUUAAUUGUAUUGAUUUUUCAACCGCAUGUACGAAGAGCUUUAUCAAAAUCGGAUUGAAUGCAUCUUGAUCAGCAUGCGACAGAGAUUCCAUUCUCGUCAAAGUAAUUCGGUGGGCGCCCUACAUCAUCUUAAUUCCAAUGUUGAAAUUAAAGAGGGCUAUACAUCAACUCUGGUAUGAUAAGCUAAGGAUCAAAAUAGGGCUGCUACUUUAUAUAGGAUUAGACCAAAUAAAGCUGAUAGAUUGAUAUUACAUUUGAUUACAUUGGAAAGUAACGUUGAACCUAUGAUGAAAGACAAUUCUACUGGGUCAUGCCCCUAGCACUAAAUGCUGAUAAAAAGCAAGUAUGUGUUCAAAAGAAAUUAAUUCUAUAUAUGCAUAUUUGCGCUCAAACCGAAAACUAUCCACGACUCAACUAUAGUUAUCCUUCCUUCGGGCAUUAUAAGCUAGCUGCCAUGUAUUUCCUUCUCCAAUACCUAAACUUUACAACAGUCGGAGUCUUUGCCACACUUCUCCUUUCCUACUGUCUAUUAUUAUGGAGGUCUAGAGAAGGUAACAGCAAAAUAGCACCUGAAGCCACCGCUGCAUGGCCCAUAAUCGGUCACCUGCACCUGUUAGGUGGGUCUGAUCAGCUUCCCCACAUAACCUUGGGAAACAUGGCCGACAAAUAUGGGCCGGUCUUCACAAUUCGUCUUGGGGUGCAUCGAGCUUUGGUGGUGAGUAGCUAGGAGAUGGCUAAAGAAUGCUUGACCACCAAUGACCAGGCUGCAUCCUCGCGUCCCGAACUUUUAGCCUCAAAACAUUUGGGCUACAACCACGCCAUGUUUGGUUUCUCUCCGUACGGUUCUUACUGGCGUGAAGUGCGCAAGAUAAUCAACCUAGAGCUACUCUCUAACCGCCGCCUAGAGCUGCUGAAGGACGUCCGAGCUUCAGAAGUGGUGACAUCCAUAAAAGAGCUAUACGAGCUCUGGGAAGAGAAAAAAAAUGAAUCGGGCCUUGUCUCGGUGGAGAUGAAGCAGUGGUUUGGAGACUUGACUCUGAACGUAAUUCUUAGGAUGGUGGCAGGGAAGCGUUAUUUCAGUGCUUCAGAUGCAAGUGAAAAUAAACAGGCGCAGAGGUGCCGGAGAGUGUUCAGGGAAUUCUUUCAUUUGUAAGGGCUCUUUGCGGUGGCGGACGCUAUUCCUUUUCUUGGAUGGCUAGACUUGGGGAGACAUGAGAAGACCCUAAAGAAGACAGCAAAAGAAAUGGACAGUAUUGCUCAAGAAUGGUUAGAGGAGCACCGUCGGAGGAAAGACUCCGGUGAAGUUAAUAGUACGCAAGACUUCAUGGAUGUGAUGUUGUCAGUUCUUGAUGGCAAAAUCCUUGGUGAUUACGAUGCUGAUACCGUCAAUAAAGCCACAUGCCUAGUAUACAUUAUUGGAACACCCACAUAUCAUAUAUAUUUGCAUAUUAUCAGGGCUAGCUUUAUUUCCAUAGGUACUUCUCUUAAUUUUGAAGUGUUACACUGCAAUAAUCAAAUAAAUUUUAAAUUUUAUUUUUUAAAAAUAAAAUUUAAAAAUAUAUAUACCGCUGAAAGAAUUGAUUUCAGAAAAUUAUUCUUUGAGAGCACCUUUGAUAAACUGAGACAUGUUUCUAGGGAAUACUAAAUAUGAUGUUUUUAAAAACGGCUUAAUUUGUAAUUUUAUUUUUGAGCAAGUUGCAAAAUACUUUAUCUGCUUCCAAUUUUCAUUUUGGUCGGCAAUAAGGGGCAAUAAGGGGUUAUCCAGGUUUCCGUAGUUAUAUUUAAUUUCCCUUGUAGAAAAUAAGUGAUCUUGAAAUCAUAAGUUUAAUCAUGUUUGCUUGAAUAAGAAACUUGAAGAUCCUGUAAAGAGAUGACAUACAUCGUUUGGGCAAUAUACCUAUGUAAGAGAUGGUUGGUUUAGAAUUUUUCUCUUAAACCAUAUAUAGGAGAAAAUGGAAAAAAAAAAUACUGUUAUUUUUUUACUAGGCCAUACUAUUUAAUAGUGUCUGAAGAGAGUUUCAUUACAUGCUAUCAAACAAUUAAUUUUGUCUCAUCACCUGCGUAAUCUUAAGUUGUUAUCUUUUGUGUUUUGUAGGCUCUAAUUGUAGGAGGUAGUGACACAACAGUUGUCACUUUAACUUGGGCGCUCUCUCUUCUAUUAAAUAAUCGUGACACCUUGAAAAAGGCACAAGAAGAAUUAGAUAUUCAAGUUGGCAAGGAAAGAUUAGUGAAUGAACAAGAUAUCAGUAAAUUGGUCUAUCUCCAAGCCAUUGUUAAAGAGACAUUACGAUUAUAUCCGCCAGCGGCACUUGGAGGACCACGUCAAUUCACUGAGGACUGCACCUUGGGUGGUUACCAUGUCUCCAAAGGCACCUGAUUAAUAUUGAAUCUUUCCAAAAUCCAAAAGGAUCCAAGAAUUUGGAUGAGUCUAACAGAAUUCCAACCAGAGAGGUUUCUAACCACCCAUAAGGACCUUGAUCCUCAAGGAAAACAUUUUGAAUUUAUACCAUUUGGUGCGGGUAGAAGAGCAUGUCCAGGAAUAGCUUUCGCUCUUCAAAUGCUACAUUUAACAUUGGCCAAUUUCUUACAGGCGUUCGACUUUUCAACUCCAUCAAAUGCACGAGUUGAUAUGUGCGAGAGCCUUGGACUUACAAACAUGAAAUCUACCCCACUUGAAGUUCUCAUUUCUCCACGCAUGUCUUUGUUAUAGUCUUUACAACUAAAAUAUUGAAAUGAAAAGGUAAAAGCUGGCCUAGUUGGCUAGUCUUAGUUUAAAGACAUCUUGAGUUAGCCUUAAGAUGCAUAAGAUAAGAUUUAGGAGUGUAUUAAAAAUAGUUUGGACUAAAAAUGAUGUAUGGUAAACUAAACUAUAAUCUAUUCCAAUAAAAGUAUAGUAUUAUAUAUUAUUUGGCCAGCCUUUUAAAAUUUAGCAUCAUAAAUUUGAACAUAUAUAUAAACCUUAGUCUAACUUUAUUUCUCUAUUUUGUGUAGUUUAUUGGCACUUUUUUUUCCCUUUUUUUUCACCAAAACAGGUAAUACAUAGGCUUUUCAAAAAUAUUACCUAUAUAAGAAUUUUAUUAUUACAUACUUAGAGGAUGUUUGGUAAAUCAAUAUAAUGGCUUAAUGACCUAUUUAAGUCUUAACUAGAUUAAGAAUAUUUGGUAAAAUAACUUAAAGAAUAAAUUAAUUAUUUUAACUUAGCACUUAAAAUUAAAUACUUGACCAGGCAAAAAAAAAAAAAAAAAAAGACUUUUAUGGAAUAAGGGCAAGAAAGAAGAUAAGAAGGAUUAGUAGUUGCCUAGUCGAGGAACUUGAGGCCGACAUUCAGAGUGCGGUCCCAGAGUUCAAGACACCGCCUAAAACUAGUGUCGGUCAUAGAGAGACAUUAAUUUUUCAAUGAAACAAACCCCAUCUCUUGUUCUCUCCCGCCUCAACAGCAGUGGUAAGUGUGGAUAUAGAUCUAAAUGCAAGAUGAUCCCGAACUGAUUUCAUACCACCAUCCAUCACCAACCAAUCACAUUCCACUUCCCACUUCAAACUUUUCGAUUCCUCGGGUAGCCUCCUCUAUAAAGGCAGUCUAGCUUCAGAGGCAGGUGAGCCGGGUCAGGAAGGAGUUUGACUGCUGGGAAGGGAUUGGAUCCUACUCGAAGCACUCCACCAUGAAUAAGAAUCUUCGAGUUAGAUAGGCAGUAGAGAUAGGAACUCCUAUUUGUAGGGUGGGCUUUCAAGACAGAGAUGCACUACUCCAUCUGGAAAGGGCUUUCCCUCGUGGGGAAAGAGUAUGAUUAAGGAAGACCAAUUAAAGAAGGGUGGUCGUAGAUCAGAUAUCGAUUAACUGCUUGGCAACCUAUCCCGAAUUGACCAGUUGACCAGGUAGGAAUACCUGUACUAAUUGCAACAAGAGAGACCAAUAGAGUUGAACAGACAACUGACAGCUCGCAAUUGAGAGACUUUCCUGUUGAGUUGACAGAUGAGCGAUUGCAAGAAAUAGGGGAAAAAAGACAGAUAACGCACAGAUUGACUUAGCAAGAAGCGGUUAGUGGGACUUAGUUCGAGGUUUUAUUCCUCUUUCCUUAUUCGUGAACAUAUGGGACUCUUUCUUUUUGCUUUCUUCAAUCACUUCGAUCUCUGCCACUCUCGCCUGUCGAAGAUAGCCUAGUCUUUUAAAGUAUACGAUUUCCGAGUUAUUGAACUCCUAAAUUCAUUCCGAUUGGGGAAUAAUAAAAGAUGUUAUUAACUUCAAGUUAUCCCAAUAUUUAUAGCUAAAGCCCUAGAGGGCGCGUUCUUAAACCUUUUCGCUACGUGAAAUUUAAGCAAGAUCUCAUCGGUUCUAUCUUUAGCGAAAUCUUCCUUUAGCUUUGAUGUCAGGUGAUCAAAAGAGAUUACCGAAUAGAGCUCUUAUUCAAACCAUCAUUCUUUUCUAGUUAUCACACUCAGAUAGAGGGAAGAUUUAGAUUUGUAUCCCAACUUAUUAAUCCAACUUCCACGAGGUAAGUCAAAUGCUCUAUGGGCGAUGUCUAAGCAGUGUCUACGAACCUAGACGAAAAGGGCUUUCAUUACCAUGUUGGAAUUUUGAACAGGACCACCUACCAAUCAGUAUACGACAACAAAAAGGCUCAGAGAAGCAUUUAGCGAGUAUGAUGGGGCCCAGAUCACAGUAAACUUUGACAAAGCAUGGGGGUCUCUUUGUGACUAUGCAAUUAAAGAGGACGAACAACCUCUGACUUGGAAGGAAGAAAGCCUCGCCCAAAUAAAGGAACGGGUCAAUGCGAAGAAAACUCAUAGGAAGACCGAUAUAGAAACAAAACUAAAAAAUAUUGAUAGGAUGUCAAACAAAGAGGAUAGGUUCCAAGUUUAUGAGGAUUUAGUAUUUGCGCAAAAGUUCCUAUCUUCCUAUUCCUAGGUUAAGUCUAUUUUCGAUGAUCUGAAAAUCUUAAAAGACAUCAAGGGAGAACACCUUGUCAAAUAGAAUCUAUACGAGCAUGGGAAACCUGAUGAAUAUGACAUUGAGGAAUUGAAUUGGGAGAAAAAGACUGACUUAUUUAUUGCUUGAUUUGAUUGCCUAUCAACUUGCUUUUAGUAGACCUAGUAAAACAACUAUUCCUUUUUGAGGAGUCGAGUACCUAAAAAACGAUCAUUCUCCAUUUUCUGUCAAAAGUGCUCCGAAUCUACUUCGCUAGCUCAUGGAAAAAUGACUUCGUGGGGACUCACGAUUACUACAAUUUAUGGGUAUUCUUUGAGUUCCACGAACCAGACACGGGAAGCACAGUCAUUGGAGCAUUCGAAACAGGAACGACUUAUGCUAACACAGUCUUUAAGAUUCUGGACGGGUAUAUCGACUUGACUCCAAAUACAAUCAAAUUAUAACAAAAAAAAAAUGUGCUUAUAAGAAUCAAAAUUCUUGCAAAUAAACUUCCCUUGUGUAUUAGGGACCCUUUCAAGCAAGGUUCCAAACAUUAAGAUUCUUUUCCAAUAAAAAGAUAGUAAAAGAGGCACAAAUCAGAUCAUAGAAACCUUGUGGGGUUGCAUACAACGCCAAAUAACAAGCAGCGCUUACGUACAACGAGAAAAGAUAAAGAAAUUGCCUAGAUCAACUACAACGAAUGCAAAUGCGUAUUAUUACCAAACCUGAUACCACUAGAUUUAUUUCUUAGUUAUAUAAUAUAGUAGCAAACAUGCCGAGAGAAACAAUACCCAUACCUGCUGUGGAUUCACAGGGGGACACGACGGCGAGAAAUUUUUGGCGGACGGAUUAUUCAUCACGCAAUUGGGCCAUACAACAAGGUUAUACAAUGUGGCGUAGAAUCCAGCAGGAAGACGACUUUAUGAAAACAAAAAAGAUCCUAGUAGUGAUACUUGACAUAGAAUCGAAAAGAAGCCAAAGCUACAAGUACGCAGAAGAUGUGGGGGGAGAUGAUACGAGACUUUCUUUAAUCGAUUUUGCCAUUAUUCCCUUGAAGCAAAAAAAAAAAAAGACAAAAGAUAUUAUUAUAUAUUUAAUAACAUAUGUAAAUGGAGGAAAGCACCCUUAUUUUAUUGAAAUACAUCUGUGUGACGAAAGGCAACCCAUCUGGUACCUACCACUACUCGAAAACCAUUUUAUCCAACGGUGUGGAGAAAUUAAAACGAACAUUGUUAGGAUUACGCAACUGGGGCCCUUCUUGAGUGAAAAUGACAAAGAGAAGAGGAAGUCAGAAAAACUCUACCCAUAUUGAUCAAACUAUACCAAAGCGAAGUCUCAUGCAAAAAAGAAAUGAAAUAAAAAAAGGCAAGAUGAGCAAGAAUUUGGGAUAACACGUUUCAUAAACGAAUUCAGCCCUCAAGAACAGAAAGCAUAGGUUGAUGAACUCAUUAAACAAUCCGAGAACACAAACAACUACCCAAGAUUCGGGCUAGAGCUGUGCACAAGUAGGAACUUUAGCCGCCACUAGUACGUACGACAAGUGCAGUGCUUCUGCCCUCUUAUCUUGUUCCUGAACAGGAGGUACACUUGGUCCCUUGUUACAUGACUUUUUUUAUAUCUUUAUGGUCUGAGAUAUCAAGUCGUAACACCGUUGGUUCUUUGAUAAAAUUUUGUAAUGCACCGAUGGUGUUUUAGUUGCCCCUUGAGGGAACCAGUCCUUAUGGUAGAGGGCCAAGAAAAGAUAGCGUGCUUGUGUUGGAAGCAAGCAAGCGGGCAAGCGGGUGAACAAAUCACCAAUUGAACUAGACAUUCGGUUACUAGGAGCAUCCCUUUAUCAGCAUCUUCAUAACUGUCUUCAAGCUUCUGGGCCUCGGAAACACAAUAGAAUCUUGUGAUCGAGUGAAGGGCAAAUGAGCUACCACGUCCCAGCUAAAAAUCUUACCUGAUUUUAGCUACUCCCGUAACCGUCCCUUUGAGUACUUAUGGCAAUCAUUUACCUUAUUUAUACCCAUCUCAAAUAAUGGGACUCGAUUUAUCAUUUGAAUUUAUCUCCAAAAAUUGGACUGAAAGUGAAUAUGUUUUCUUUAUUGUAGAAGUUUACAUCUGGAGCUCCCUUGAGUGGUGUUAGCUGGUCGUAAGUCAGAAAAGGAAAGGAAUGAGGGGCAAGACCGGAGACCUACGACCAUAGGCUAGAGACCGAAGAAUCCCAUAACCUGUUUCGAGAAGGGCAGGCUAGUUUAAGCAUAGUCAUUCGAUUCGACAUCUGCCUCUUUCAAGCGGAUAGAGAAAGGAGAGUAGGAGCACAAGAAGGAUCAGACGAUUCUAAUUGUUAGACAGAGUAGAGGGGAGAGAGGCAAAUUGAGUUUCUGAAGCUGACGAAGUGAUUUACUAUAUUGUGGAGCUUCCACCAACAGUAGUUUUUCCACCAUAAGGGGAGAGAUAUUGCGCUAGGUCAACUCGAGCAUAGGGUUACAGACGGACAUCUUCCGUUCAAUCAGAUGGGACUCUUUGUUGAGAGUUCUAAAGCUAGGUUUGCCACUUUAAACCCAACAGAUGCAAAGCAAAAGCCAAAAAACCAGCAACUCUCUUACUUCAAUUGACUGCUUGACUUCUUUCUAUCCGAUUAGCAUUGGUUUAUGCUGUCUCGAAAACAGGAACUUAGGAUUUUUAUACCAAGAUUCAAGACAAGAAGUCUCGACAUUCCUCAUAUGGGAAAAAAAUGAAGUGGAACCUUCCAAAGGCCCGGGUUACGAUGCUUCAAGUUCAAUGAAGGAAAUUGGGAGAACUUGAAAAUGGACCAUGACUCUAUUAGCUUACUAGCUUAGCUUCGUGAGCUUGCUUCUUUGGUUAGACAAAAAGCAUUCUACUUACUGUCGAAGUGGAAAUCAUUCUCUAGGUCGAUAAUAAAAUAGUGCUUUCAAAGUAGAAAGGAGGACGAACUAUAUUGGAAUUUCUUAGGGCAAAAUUCUCAAAGGCUAGCUAGCAAGAAAGUGAUAGUCUAAUGGUUACAACGAGUGAGCAUACUGGAUUAAGUUUACAAUCUCCGAUAUUAUCCAUUUCAGAAUCUUUCACUAUCGAGAGGAAAUUGUUUNNNNNNNNNNNNNNNNNNNNNNNNNNNNNNNNNNNNNNNNNNNNNNNNNNNNNNNNNNNNNNNNNNNNNNNNNNNNNNNNNNNNNNNNNNNNNNNNNNNNNNNNNNNNNNNNNNNNNNNNNNNNNNNNNNNNNNNNNNNNNNNNNNNNNNNNNNNNNNNNNNNNNNNNNNNNNNNNNNNNNNNNNNNNNNNNNNNNNNNNNNNNNNNNNNNNNNNGGGGGGGGGGAAGCGAUCCAGACAAGGAUAGUCUCAAAGGAUAUUUAGGUUAUCACACACAAAGUGUGGGUCCAUGCGAGCAAGGCUUAGUAGCUUUCCAUGACGAUCCAACAGAUCAAAUAUGAUUCUAGCCAAAGCCAAUUGGAAGAAAUGAAUCUCUUGGGCCUUCUCCUGCGGGCAUCUAAGGUUCUCUUGCUUAAUUUAUUCUUUAUCUCAAUUUUUUUUUCCUUCACUUAUCCAUGUUCAAUAAAACCGUAUUUUACAAUUAUGACUUUGAAUUUACAACUCAUCUUUUAUAGUAAAUAUUUUCGUAAUUUAUUUACAAUACUUUAAAUCUAAAUAUUUAACAACUAAAUUUAUUAUUAUUAUUUAAGAUUAGUAAAACUAUAAAUAUUAGUUAAAAUGAAUGAAGAUAAAUAUAUAGAUUUUAUAAUUCAAAAUAAAUAUUAAGUUAAUUCUAUUAAACAAUCCUAAUAUUAAAAGUAAUAAAUAAGUAAUAAAUUUUAGUUUAAUAAUUUAACUUGAAAUCAAUUUAAUUAAAUUAUUAAAUAAUAAAUAUUAAGUUUUAUCCUGAACGUUAAUCUCAACGACCUUGACAUCUAAAUAUGAUCUGCCCCAAUUAAAUAUUAAACCAUAACUUAACAUAUGCCCGCAUGACCCUCGGAGCAUAUAAUUAAUUCAUUUCAAAGAUCACGGAAGAUCCUUUUAGUAACAUGGCUCCAUUGAUAUAGCAUUCUAUUUAUUGACCGCUACGUAUUAUAUAAAUUCAAAGAUCAUGGAGAGGAUCUUGUCGGCAAUCAUUCGUCAGAAGAAGGGCAGUUUCCUUCAUAAAAUAGUAGACUUUGAAUAAAAGUAAUCUACACAACAUCAUAGCAUAUGCAAGCAAUUUUGGACGGAUUACGAAAGUCAAACCUACUGGGCCACGCCCGUUACAACAUCUCGAAAUAGGGAGAAUUGUGUUUUUGAUCCAGGCCCCAAAAAUUAACAUUUGGUCCUCCAACCACCCAUAUUUAAGCCCAAGACCCAAAUAAAGUAUGAAAAUUAAGAUGAAAGAUAUUGUCUUUCAUUAAUUCCUAAAAUACCCUUAUCCCUUAUAUGCCUACAAGUGAGUGUGAAUUUUAAUUUUUUUUAUAUUUUUUUUCCUUUUCUAUUCCCUAUUAAAUAUUACUUAUUUCUAACUUUUUUUUUCCUUUUUAUUUCAAUAUAUAUUUCUAUUUUAUGUCAAAUAAAAAACAAUAAUAUUUUUUUAUUUUUCAUUUUUAAAGAUAUUGAAUCUUUUUGCUCUUAUUAAAAGCAAUGAUAAAAAUUUUGAGAUUUUUCAUCCAAAUAUUUUUUUAUCUUUUUGUAUUUAUCUUUUAGUUUAAUUUUCAUUUUUUAUUUUAAAUUUAUAUUACCCUUUCAUCUAUAUUUUUCUCUUUUUUUUAUAUUUUCUACAUUAACCAUAUUUUAAAAAUUUUUAAAAUUAACUAUCACUUCACUUUAUUAUAUAUAUAUAUAUCUUUUUAGCUUUUUAAUUUUUAAUGUUUUUAUUUUAAAAUUUUUAAAAAGAUAAAUUUGUUGAAAAAAAAUAAUUAAGAUAUGAAGUUCUAAUAUUAUAUUAAUAAUUUUUCUUAUCUAGAUAGACUAAUGCAAAGUAUUUUGACCCACAACAAGAAAAUUGUCAAUACAAUUUUUUAGUUAAACUUUAAAAAUUAAGUUUCAAAUAAAAUAUAUUAUAUAAAAUUUUAUCUAAAAAUUAUUGAAAGUGGUAUUUAAUUUUUUUAUUUAUUGACUUUGAAACUUAUCUAAUUUUUUACUUGAAAGGUAAUAGAACAUGUUUACAAAAAAAAUUAGUUUUUCAUUUUUUUAAAUAAAUGAGUAUAAAUAUAUUAAAAAAAUUAAAGAUAAUCUUAGUAAAAAAUUUGAUAAAUAUGAUUAUAAUUUUAAAUAUAGAUUCAUGUGGAUAAAAUUUCACAAAAAAAAAAUAGUGGAAAGAAAGAACAUUGCUAAAACUACAAAAACAAAAUAUGCAAUUACAAAAAUUUGAUGAUGAAAUUUAAAAAUAAAAUUCGAAACAAUUCUUGAGUGAGAGAAUUUGAGUGGGGAAAAAAUAUUUGAGUGGAAAAAAAUGGGAAAGUUUUUCGAAAUCACUUUAAAUCCUUAACAAAAAGUAGUCUUAUACACCCUUGUACAAUUAGUAAAUUUGUCUUGUACAAUUAGUGUAAUACCCUUGUACAGUUAGUGUAAUACCCUUGUACAAUAUCUCAAAUUUCAUACAUCAUUUUAUGAAUAUCUAACAAUAGGUCGGUUAACCAUGUUUGCAUCGGUUUGGUUUUAAAAAGGAAAAAAAAUUGUUGUAUAAUUUUGUUUUACAAUCAUCAUAAGUGAGGUACCUAUUAAAAUGACCAUAUACAAGUUAGAUAAAAUUCAUGAGAUGAAUGUAUGCUUAACUAAUGUGUGUAAGAAAUGUCAUUUAUCUUUGGUUAAGGGAAAUAAACAAACAAGUUUUUUAAAAUCACUUAAAAUCCUUCACAAAUAAUAGUCUUGUACACCCUUGUACAGUUAGUAUAUUUGUCAUGUACACUUAGUGUAAAUACCUUGUACAGUGACUAAAAAAAAAACGUUAUUUUAUUUUAUUUUCAAUGCAAAAUGUAAUUAAAAAUAAGACAAAGAAAUUACUUAAAAACUAUUAUUUAAGCCAAAUUUAUUUAUUUAUUUCCUUUUAUUUUUGGAAAUAAAGAAAAAAGAAUAAAAAAUUUAUUUAACCAUAAGAAAUAUGAAUAUAAGAUCAGUUGGAAAAUUUUAAAUUUAUUUAUUUAUUUCAUUUUAUUUUUGGAAUUAAAGAAAUAAAAAAUUAAAAAUUUAUUUAAUCAUAAAAAAUAUUGAUAUAAGAUAUAUUAAAAAAUAGAAAUAACCCCAAAUUUAUUUACUUAUUUCAUUUUAUUUAUUAAAUUAGAAAUUAAUUUAUUUUAAUAGAUUAAAAUGUGCACAAUUUAUUUAUUACUUUGUUAAUUAUGGAUAUAUUAAAAUUUUCGAUAAAAAAUAAAUAAAGAAAAUAAAAUUAAAAAGAGUAAUAAAUAUAUAUAAUUUAGUUAUUUAAUUAUUUUUCAUGUAAAAGAUGGUCCCACAAAAAACAUAUAAUUGAUCAAUUUCUUUGUUUAAUCAUAAACAUACUAUUUUUUUUAUUAUUAAAAUAAAUAAUGAAAAAAAAUAAAAAUGGAUAAUCAAUGAAUGAAAUUUAGUUCUUUUUAUUAUUUUCAUAUAAAAAAUAGUACUAAAUAAGGUUUUCAAUUUUUAUUUUUUAAAAUAGUUUUCAUUUUUUAAUUAAAUGUUUUUUCAAAAAGAAAAUAUAAAAAAUAUAAAUCAUAUUACUAUUUUUUAGAAAGUAUUUUUUAAAAUAGCUUUCGAACAUAAUUUUUCUUUAUUUAUAAUUUAAAAUAGAAAAUAAUGUUGAUUUUCAAUUAUUUAUAAAAAAAUUAAAAUAAUGAAAAAUCCAAAUUGUUAAAAUAGAAUUAUUAUGGUUGCAUGAAUAAUGGUGCAAUAAAGACAAAAAAAAAAGUUUAUGUGAAAUGUCAUUGGGUAUUUUAGUCCAUCACUAUUUAAUGUCCUUAAAAGGUAAUGUAUAGAAAUUUGAAGGAUAUAUUGGUCUUUUAACAUCUCAUAUCCUUUCCAUCAAUUAUGGAAGUUAUAUAGACCAAAUGUUAAUUUUUGGGCCCAAUUGGGCCCAAAACACAAUUCUCCCCUCGAAAUAUGGUAGUAUAGAUAGAUGCUUAAGCUGGAAAAACACCGACAGAUCGAUCUAACCAUGGCGGUGCCACACUCCAGCAGUCUUCUUCAAUACCUAAAUGUUACCACGAUCGGAGUGCUUGGCAUACUUUUUCUUUCCUACUAUCUAUUAGUACGGAGAUCCAGAGCUGGUAAGAGAAGAAUAGGACCUGAAGCAGCUGGUGCAUGGCCAAUAAUCGGUCACCUACACCUCUUAGGUGGGUCACAGCUCCCUCAUGUAACAUUGGGAACCAUGGCCGACACAUAUGGGCCGGUCUUCACAAUUCGUCUUGGGGUGCAUCGAGCUUUGGUGGUGAGUAGCUGGGAGAUGGCUAAAGAAUGCUUGACCACCAAUGACCAGGCUGCAUCCUCGCGUCCCGAACUUUUAGCCUCAAAACAUUUGGGCUACAACUACUCCAUGUUUGGUUUCUCUCCGUACGGUUCUUACUGGCGUGAAGUGCGCAAGAUAAUCAGCCUAGAGCUACUCUCUAACCGCCGCCUAGAGCUGCUGAAGGACGUCCGAGCUUCAGAAGUGGUGACAUCUAUAAAAGAGCUAUACGAGCUCUGGGAAGAGAAAAAAAAUGAAUCGGGCCUUGUCUCGGUGGAGAUGAAGCAGUGGUUUGGAGACUUGACUCUGAACGUAAUUCUUAGGAUGGUGGCAGGGAAGCGUUAUUUCAGUGCUUCAGAUGCAAGUGAAAAUAAACAGGCGCAGAGGUGCCGGAGAGUGUUCAGGGAAUUCUGUCAUUUGUCAGGGCUCUUUGCGGUGGCGGACGCUAUUCCUUUUCUUGGAUGGCUAGACUUGGGGAGACAUGAGAAGACCCUAAAGAAGACAGCAAAAGAAAUGGACAGUAUUGCUCAAGAAUGGUUAGAGGAGCACCGUCGGAGGAAAGACUCCGGUGAAGUUAAUAGUACGCAAGACUUCAUGGAUGUGAUGCUGUCAGUUCUUGAUAGCAAAAACCUUGGUGAUUACGAUGCUGAUACCGUCAAUAAAGCCACAUGCCUGGUAUACAUUAUUGGAACACCCACAUAUCAUAUAUAUUUGCAUAUUAUCAGGGCUAGCUUUAUUUCCAUAGGUACUUCUCUUAAUUUUGAAGUGUUACACUGCAAUAAUCAAAUAAAUUUUA